AAAAAAAAAAAAAAAACGAAAAAAAAAACGAAAAAAAAAAGUUAAAAAUAAAUAAAUAAAUAAAAUUAAUUAAAUAAAUAAAUAAAAUAUAACAAAUUUUUUUUGGACUUGGGUCUCCCUCAUUUGAGCCCACUACCCACGAAAAUCAGUUUAUAAAUACUGAAGUUUCAGUAGAGGAAAACACACUUGGAGUUAUACUGGGAGAUUCACUGG
This 213-nucleotide long non-coding RNA is filed under the name Lathyrus oleraceus (garden pea). RNAcentral describes it as "Pisum sativum (pea) long non-coding RNA (PSAT_LNC038419)". The record is from RNAcentral. Lineage: Eukaryota; Viridiplantae; Streptophyta; Magnoliopsida; Fabales; Fabaceae.